UGGGAUCGGCUCCGUUUGGUUCGGAAAUUAAUAGGAACUAGUUAUACCGGGAAUAGAUACAAGUAUGAAUUUUUGUAGGAAUAAGGGUAUUUUUUUGUUUGGAUGAAAUUGUGAGUAUAAGCUGGAAUUAGAAAAAUUGUGUUUGGAUGGUUUUUGGGAAUAAGAGGAAUAGUUGGUAGUUAUAAAUAGAAAAUAAUAAUAUUAUCCCUAUAAUUGAAUUUUAAACUUAUAAUUUUAAAUUUAAAAUUUUAACUUUUAAAUUUAAAUUAGAAAUUAAAAUUUUAAAUUUUAAUAUUAAAAAUAUUAAUUUUAAAUAUCAAAUUUUAAAUUUCAGACCAAAUUUAAAUUUCAAAGAUAUAAAAUAACAUAUUUAAAAUUUAAAAACUAAAAAUAUCAAAUUUAAAAUUUAAACUUUAAUAAAAUUUAAAAUUUUAAUUUAUUAAUUUUAAUUUUAAAAUUAUAAAUUUUAAAAAUUUAAAUUUAAAUUUAAAAUAAAAAUCUCUCUCUACUCAAGUGGGUUGGACCCAAGCUUGUACCGGGUACAACCCGAU
RNAcentral lists this long non-coding RNA (551 nucleotides) under Ananas comosus (pineapple). RNAcentral describes it as "long non-coding RNA (ACOM_LNC012120)". Lineage: Eukaryota; Viridiplantae; Streptophyta; Magnoliopsida; Poales; Bromeliaceae. The record is from RNAcentral.